Molecule: unclassified non-coding RNA, 1356 nt
Filed under: Hevea brasiliensis (rubber tree)
Lineage: Eukaryota; Viridiplantae; Streptophyta; Magnoliopsida; Malpighiales; Euphorbiaceae
Source: RNAcentral
CGGAGUGUUCAUUUACUUGCAAUAAUGGCCAAAAGAACCCAAGCCAUCCUUCUUCUUCUCCUAGCAAUCUCACUGAUUAUGUCCAGCUCUCAUGUUGAUGGUGGUGGCAUUGCCAUUUACUGGGGUCAAAAUGGCAACGAAGGAACUCUAACACAAACAUGCUCCACACGCAAAUAUUCUUACGUGAAUAUAGCCUUUCUCAAUAAAUUUGGCAAUGGUCAAACCCCACAAAUCAACCUUGCCGGCCAUUGUAACCCGGCUGCUGGAGGUUGCACCAUUGUCAGCAAUGGCAUCAGGAGUUGCCAAAUCCAAGGAAUUAAGGUGAUGCUUUCUCUUGGCGGUGGGAUUGGAAGCUACACCCUGGCCUCUCAAGCUGAUGCAAAAAAACGUUGCAGACUAUUUGUGGAAUAAUUUCUUGGGUGGGAAAUCUUCUUCCCGUCCCUUAGGUGAUGCUGUAUUGGAUGGUAUUGAUUUUGACAUAGAGCAUGGUUCAACCCUGUACUGGGACGAUCUUGCACGUUACUUAUCUGCAUAUAGCAAGCAAGGCAAGAAGGUGUAUUUAACUGCAGCUCCUCAAUGUCCAUUCCCUGAUAGAUAUUUAGGGACUGCCCUUAAUACUGGUCUUUUUGACUAUGUAUGGGUUCAAUUCUAUAACAAUCCACCAUGCCAGUAUAGCUCAGGUAACAUUAACAACAUCAUUAACUCGUGGAAUCGAUGGACCACAUCUAUAAAUGCAGGGAAAAUAUUUUUGGGGUUGCCGGCAGCUCCUGAGGCAGCCGGAAGCGGAUAUGUUCCACCGGAUGUGCUGAUUUCUCGGAUUCUUCCUGAAAUAAAGAAGUCACCUAAGUACGGAGGUGUUAUGCUUUGGUCAAAGUUCUACGAUGAUAAGAAUGGCUAUAGUUCCUCCAUUCUGGAUAGUGUAUUGUUCCUCCAUUCUGAAAAGUGUAUGACACUUUGAAUUGGGAGAAAUUAUUCGGUGCACUCGGUGCAUAUGCACUAUCUCUUAUAAUUAUGUGUGAUCUAUUCUUUAUAUUAUAAUAAGGAGAGUGCACUUUUCUGUGAAAGAGGGAGUACUAUGUUUUAGUACUCUCGGUGUAUCUAAUAAUUAGGCUUGAAUAAAUAAUGUUUUGCUUGGCCUAAAUUGAUGUGAGUUACCUCUUUAAAGUAAAUUAUAUAAAAUAAUAUAAGUCUUUAACAAUUAAUAAUAAACAAAAAUCUUAGAAACUCCUUAUUAGUGUUGUUUGGUUGUCUCCCCUUGUCGAUCUGUGUGGCUCAAGUUCAAACAACUUAAUACAUAAUGGUCUUCAAUCAAAAGCCCUCUCGCUGAAGCACAGACUCACGGAGGCGGAAUCAGAG